GACGAACGCUGGCGGCGUGCCUAAUACAUGCAAGUAGAACGCUGAAGAGAGGAGCUUGCUCUUCUUGGAUGAGUUGCGAACGGGUGAGUAACGCGUAGGUAACCUGCCUUGUAGCGGGGGAUAACUAUUGGAAACGAUAGCUAAUACCGCAUAACAAUGGAUGACACAUGUCAUUUAUUUGAAAGGGGCAAUUGUUCCACUACAAGAUGGACCUGCGUUGUAUUAGCUAGUAGGUGAGGUAAUGGCUCACCUAGGCGACGAUACAUAGCCGACCUGGGAGGGGGAUCGGCCACACUGGGACUGAGACACGGCCCAGACUCCUACGGGAGGCAGCAGUAGGGAAUCUUCGGCAAUGGGGGCAACCCUGACCGAGCAACGCCGCGUGAGUGAAGAAGGUUUUCGGAUCGUAAAGCUCUGUUGUAAGUCAAGAACGGGUGUGAGAGUGGAAAGUUCACACUGUGACGGUAGCUUACCAGAAAGGGACGGCUAACUACGUG
This 497-nucleotide ribosomal RNA is filed under the name uncultured bacterium. RNAcentral describes it as "partial 16S ribosomal RNA". It matches the Rfam family "Bacterial small subunit ribosomal RNA", at positions 28 to 507 of the family's 1533-position model. The record is from RNAcentral.